GGGCCCGCACAAGCAGUGGAGCAUGUGGUUUAAUUCGAUGCAACGCGAAGAACCUUACCAGGCCUUGACAUCCUCGGAACUUUCUAGAGAUAGAUUGGUGCCUUCGGGAACCGGGUGACAGGUGCUGCAUGGCUGUCGUCAGCUCGUGUCGUGAGAUGCGUGGGUUAACGUCCCGUAACGAGCGCAACCCUUGUCCUUAGUUGCCAGCACAUAAUGGUGGGAACUCUAAGGAGACUGCCGGUGACAAACCGGAGGAAGGUGGGGACGACGUCAAGUCAUCAUGGCCCUUACGGCCUGGGCUACACACGUGCUACAAUGGCUAGGACAGACGGCUGCAAACCAGCGAGUGGGGAGCUAAUCCGACAAACCUAGUCGUAGUCCGGAUUGGAGUCUGCAACUCGACUCCAUGAAGUCGGAAUUGCUAGUAAUCG
Molecule: ribosomal RNA, 431 nt
Filed under: uncultured bacterium
Lineage: Bacteria
Description: bacterial SSU rRNA
Rfam family: Bacterial small subunit ribosomal RNA
Source: RNAcentral